RNAcentral lists this ribosomal RNA (253 nucleotides) under uncultured bacterium. Its description in RNAcentral is "partial 16S ribosomal RNA". It matches the Rfam family "Bacterial small subunit ribosomal RNA", at positions 524 to 776 of the family's 1533-position model. The record is from RNAcentral.
UACAGAGGUCCCAAGCGUUGUUCGGAUUCACUGGGCGUAAAGGGUGCGUAGGCGGUUGGAUAAGUCUGACGUGAAAUCUCCGGGCCUAACCCGGAAACUGCGUUGGAAACUAUUUGACUAGAGGAUUGGAAGGGAGACUGGAAUACUUGGUGUAGCAGUGAAAUGCGUAGAUAUCAAGUGGAACACCAGUGGCGAAGGCGAGUCUCUGGACAAUUCCUGACGCUGAGGCACGAAAGCCAGGGGAGCAAACGGG